RNAcentral lists this ribosomal RNA (484 nucleotides) under uncultured bacterium. RNAcentral describes it as "partial 16S ribosomal RNA". It matches the Rfam family "Bacterial small subunit ribosomal RNA", at positions 28 to 523 of the family's 1533-position model. The record is from RNAcentral.
GAUGAACGCUGGCGGCGUGCUUAACACAUGCAAGUCGAACGGUGAAGCGGGAGCUUGCUCUUGUGGAUCAGUGGCGAACGGGUGAGUAACACGUGAGCAACCUGCCCCUGACUCUGGGAUAAGCGCUGGAAACGGCGUCUAAUACUGGAUAUGUGAUGUGACCGCAUGGUCUGCAUCUGGAAAGAAUUUCGGUUGGGGAUGGGCUCGCGGCCUAUCAGCUUGUUGGUGAGGUAAUGGCUCACCAAGGCGUCGACGGGUAGCCGGCCUGAGAGGGUGACCGGCCACACUGGGACUGAGACACGGCCCAGACUCCUACGGGAGGCAGCAGUGGGGAAUAUUGCACAAUGGGCGGAAGCCUGAUGCAGCAACGCCGCGUGAGGGAUGACGGCCUUCGGGUUGUAAACCUCUUUUAGCAGAGAAGAAGCGAAAGUGACGGUACCUGCAGAAAAAGCACCGGCUAACUACGUGCCAGCCGCCGCGGUAA